This 440-nucleotide ribosomal RNA is filed under the name uncultured bacterium. RNAcentral describes it as "partial 16S ribosomal RNA". It matches the Rfam family "Bacterial small subunit ribosomal RNA", at positions 339 to 795 of the family's 1533-position model. The record is from RNAcentral.
CUACGGGUGGCUGCAGUGAGGAAUAUUGCACAAUGGGGGGAACCCUGAUGCAGCAACGCCGCGUGGAGGAUGACGCAUUUCGGUGUGUAAACUCCUUUUAUAUGUCAAGAAAAUGACGGUAGCAUAUGAAUAAGCACCGGCUAACUCCGUGGCCAGCAGCCGCGGUAAUACGGAGGGUGCAAGCGUUGACUCGGAAUCACUGGGCGUAAAGGACGCGUAGGCGGGCUUGUAAGUCAGGUGUGAAAUCCUACAGCUUAACUGUAGAACUGCACUUGAAACUACGAGCCUAGAGUAUGGGAGGGGGAGAUGGAAUUAGUGGUGUAGGGGUAAAAUCCGUAGAUAUCACUAGGAAUACCUAAAGCGAAGGCGAUCUCCUGGAACAUAACUGACGCUAAGGCGUGAAAGCGUGGGAGCAAACAGGAUUAGAUACCCCCGUAGUC